GGAAUUUAAAAAUCCAAAUGUUACGGAAUAUUACAAAUAAAAAACGAUGAAUAAAGAGAUGCAAGAACUAAAAGAAGACAAAACAUACACAAGGGUUAAAAUCAAUGGGAUACAAUAUGGUGGCCACGACUGGACUUGAACCAGCGACCACUACCA
Molecule: antisense RNA, 156 nt
Filed under: Helicobacter canadensis MIT 98-5491
Lineage: Bacteria; Pseudomonadati; Campylobacterota; Epsilonproteobacteria; Campylobacterales; Helicobacteraceae
Description: Bacterial antisense RNA HPnc0260
Rfam family: Bacterial antisense RNA HPnc0260
Source: Rfam by way of RNAcentral